GGUUUUAUAGUGUAUAUAACACUUUAGAUUGCAAGUCUGAAAAAGUAAUUUUUUAUUAAAACUU
This 64-nucleotide transfer RNA is filed under the name Pedetontus zhejiangensis. RNAcentral's name for it is "tRNA-Cys". The record is from RNAcentral. Lineage: Eukaryota; Metazoa; Arthropoda; Insecta; Archaeognatha; Machilidae.